RNAcentral lists this ribosomal RNA (543 nucleotides) under marine bacterium SIMO IS-S74-239. Its description in RNAcentral is "bacterial SSU rRNA". It matches the Rfam family "Bacterial small subunit ribosomal RNA", at positions 69 to 596 of the family's 1533-position model. The record is from RNAcentral. Lineage: Bacteria; Bacillati; Bacillota; Bacilli; Caryophanales; Bacillaceae.
UUGAUGGGAGCUUGCUCCCUGAUAUCAGCGGCGGACGGGUGAGUAACACGUGGGUAACCUGCCUGUAAGACUGGGAUAACUCCGGGAAACCGGGGCUAAUACCGGAUAACUCAUUUCCUCGCAUGAGGAAAUGUUGAAAGNUGGCUUCGGCUANCACUUACAGAUGGACCCGCGGCGCAUUAGCUAGUUGGUGAGGUAACGGCUCACCAAGGCAACGAUGCGUAGCCGACCUGAGAGGGUGAUCGGCCACACUGGGACUGAGACACGGCCCAGACUCCUACGGGAGGCAGCAGUAGGGAAUCUUCCGCAAUGGACGAAAGUCUGACGGAGCAACGCCGCGUGAGUGAUGAAGGUUUUCGGAUCGUAAAGCUCUGUUGUUAGGGAAGAACAAGUGCCGUUCGAAUAGGGCGGCACCUUGACGGUACCUAACCAGAAAGCCACGGCUAACUACGUGCCAGCAGCCGCGGUAAUACGUAGGUGGCAAGCGUUGUCCGGAAUUAUUGGGCGUAAAGCGCGCGCAGGUGGUUCCUUAAGUCUGAUGUG